RNAcentral lists this ribosomal RNA (1276 nucleotides) under Chryseobacterium sp. CF365. Its description in RNAcentral is "bacterial LSU rRNA". It matches the Rfam family "Bacterial large subunit ribosomal RNA", at positions 878 to 2232 of the family's 2925-position model. The record is from RNAcentral. Lineage: Bacteria; Pseudomonadati; Bacteroidota; Flavobacteriia; Flavobacteriales; Weeksellaceae.
AGCGUCGUAUAUAAGUUUAUUAGAGGUAGAGCUACUGAUUGGAUGCGGGGGUUUCAUCGCCUACCAAUUCCUGACAAACUCCGAAUGCUAAUAAAUGUUCUACGGCAGUGAGGGCAUGGGUGCUAAGGUCCAUGUCCGAGAGGGAAAGAACCCAGACCAACAGCUAAGGUCCCAAAAUAUAUGUUAAGUUGAAACAACGCGGUUGGACUGCAUUGACAGCUAGGAUGUUGGCUUGGAAGCAGCCAUUCAUUUAAAGAGUGCGUAACAGCUCACUAGUCGAGCGGUCCGGCAUGGAUAAUAAUCGGGCAUAAACAUAUUACCGAAGCUAUGGAUUUAUAUUUUAGAUAUAUCUGGUAGGAGAGCAUUCUAUUUGCGCCGAAGCAGUACUGUGAGGUAUUGUGGAGCGGAUAGAAAAGAAAAUGUAGGCAUAAGUAACGAUAAAGCAGGCGAGAAACCUGCUCACCGAAAGACCAAGGCUUCCUCAGCCAUGCUAAUCAGCUGAGGGUUAGUCGGGACCUAACGCGAACCCGAAAGGGGUAGUGGAUGGACAAUGGGUUAAUAUUCCCAUACUUGCUCACAAUAAAAGGGGACGGUUGGAUGUAGCUGCUGGAGACUGACGGAAUAGUCAAGGCCUAGCCUUCGGGCGAAGCUGCUGUAGUGUAAUCUGAUCCAAGAAAAGCCGAAGUGAAGCAACCCGUACCAAAACCGACACAGGUGGUCGAGGAGAGAAUCCUAAGGUGCUCGAGUGAGUCGUGGCUAAGGAACUAGGCAAAAUAGUCUCGUAACUUCGGAAGAAGAGACGCCAACAGCAAUGUUGGCCGCAGUGAAGAGGCCCAGGCGACUGUUUAUCAAAAACACAGGACUCUGCUAAAUCGAAAGAUGCUGUAUAGGGUCUGACACCUGCCCGGUGCUGGAAGGUUAAGGAAGGUGCUUAGAGUUAAAUCGAAGGCAUUAACUGAAGCCCCAGUAAACGGCGGCCGUAACUAUAACGGUCCUAAGGUAGCGAAAUUCCUUGUCGGGUAAGUUCCGACCUGCACGAAUGGUGUAACGAUCUGGGCACUGUCUCAGCCACGAGCUCGGUGAAAUUGUAGUAUCGGUGAAGAUGCCGAUUACCCGCAAUGGGACGAAAAGACCCUGUGAACCUUUACUAUAACUUCGUAUUGACUUUGAGUAAGUAAUGUGUAGGAUAGGUGGGAGGCUUUGAAGCAGGCACGCUAGUGUUUGUGGAGCCAACGUUGAAAUACCACCCUUUACUUACUUGGAGCCUAACUUCUUU